UCGCGGCGGUGUGCGCAGAAGGGUCUGGGCUCGAGCCUGCCUGGAGCCGCCGCCGGUGCAGAUCUUGGUGGUAGUAGCAAAUACUCCAGCGAGGCCCUGGAGGACUGAUGUGGAGAAGGGUUUCGUGUGAACAGCCGUUGCACACGAGUCAGUCGAUCUUAAGCCCUAGGAGAAAUCCGACGCCAACGGAGACGGGAAUAAUGAAAUGGAAAUGGCCCGUUGAUCGGGCGAAAGGGAAUCCGGUUCCUAUUCCGGAACCCGGCAGCGGAACCGUUGUUUCUCGGGCCCUCACAAGGGGUUCGUCAGGGUAACCUAAAAGGGCCCGGAGACGCCGUCGGAAGCCCCGGAAAGAGUUUUCUUUUCUGCAUGA
This 370-nucleotide ribosomal RNA is filed under the name Sinorogomphus sp. JLW-2007. Its description in RNAcentral is "eukaryotic LSU rRNA". It matches the Rfam family "Eukaryotic large subunit ribosomal RNA", at positions 1389 to 1706 of the family's 3401-position model. The record is from RNAcentral. Lineage: Eukaryota; Metazoa; Arthropoda; Insecta; Odonata; Chlorogomphidae.